This 330-nucleotide ribosomal RNA is filed under the name uncultured eukaryote. RNAcentral's name for it is "partial 18S ribosomal RNA". It matches the Rfam family "Eukaryotic small subunit ribosomal RNA", at positions 1470 to 1796 of the family's 1831-position model. The record is from RNAcentral.
CCCUUAGAUGUUCUGGGCCGCACGCGCGCUACACUGAUGAAUUCAACGAGCUCCUAUCCUAGGCCGAAGGGUCCGGGUAAUCUUUGAAAUUUCAUCGUGAUGGGGAUAGAUUAUUGCAAUUAUUAAUCUUCAACGAGGAAUUCCUAGUAAGCGCGAGUCAUCAGCUCGCGUUGAUUACGUCCCUGCCCUUUGUACACACCGCCCGUCGCUCCUACCGAUUGAAUGGUCCGGUGAAAUGUUCGGACCGCGACAAGGCGGACGGUUCGCUGUCAGCUUUGCUGCGGGAAGUUCAUUAAACCUUAUCAUUUAGAGGAAGGAGAAGUCGUAACA